UGCGUAGGCGGCUUGGUAGGUCUGGUGUGAAAGCCCCGGGCUCAGCCCGGGAAGGGCACUAGAAACUGCCAAGCUAGAGUGCCGGAGGGGAGAGUGGAAUUCCUGGUGUAGCGGUGAAAUGCGUAGAUAUCAGGAGGAAUACCGGUGGCGAAAGCGACUCUCUGGACGGCAACUGACGCUGAGGCACGAAAGCGUGGGGAGCAAACA
Molecule: ribosomal RNA, 207 nt
Filed under: uncultured bacterium
Lineage: Bacteria
Description: partial 16S ribosomal RNA
Rfam family: Bacterial small subunit ribosomal RNA
Source: RNAcentral